Molecule: ribosomal RNA, 253 nt
Filed under: uncultured bacterium
Lineage: Bacteria
Description: partial 16S ribosomal RNA
Rfam family: Bacterial small subunit ribosomal RNA
Source: RNAcentral
UACGUAGGGGGCUAGCGUUGUUCGGAAUUACUGGGCGUAAAGCGCGCGUAGGCGGAUCUGCAAGUCGGGGGUGAAAUCCCGAGGCUCAACCUCGGAACUGCCUUCGAUACUGCGGGUCUCGAGUCCGGGAGAGGUGAGUGGAAUUCCUAGUGUAGAGGUGAAAUUCGUAGAUAUUAGGAAGAACACCAGUGGCGAAGGCGGCUCACUGGCCCGGUACUGACGCUGAGGCGCGAAAGCGUGGGGAGCAAACAGG